RNAcentral lists this ribosomal RNA (837 nucleotides) under Actinomadura sp. IM-7092. Its description in RNAcentral is "bacterial SSU rRNA". It matches the Rfam family "Bacterial small subunit ribosomal RNA", at positions 38 to 889 of the family's 1533-position model. Lineage: Bacteria; Bacillati; Actinomycetota; Actinomycetes; Streptosporangiales; Thermomonosporaceae. The record is from RNAcentral.
GGCGGCGUGCUUAACACAUGCAAGUCGAGCGGAAAGGCCCCUUCGGGGGUACUCGAGCGGCGAACGGGUGAGUAACACGUGAGCAACCUGCCCCUGACUCUGGGAUAAGCCCGGGAAACUGGGUCUAAUACCGGAUAUAACCACUGGUCUCAUGAUCGGGUGGUGGAAAGUUUUUCGGUUGGGGAUGGGCUCGCGGCCUAUCAGCUUGUUGGUGGGGUGAUGGCCUACCAAGGCGACGACGGGUAACCGGCCUGAGAGGGCGACCGGUCACACUGGGACUGAGACACGGCCCAGACUCCUACGGGAGGCAGCAGUGGGGAAUAUUGCGCAAUGGGCGGAAGCCUGACGCAGCGACGCCGCGUGAGGGAUGACGGCCUUCGGGUUGUAAACCUCUUUCAGCAGGGACGAAGCUAACGUGACGGUACCUGCAGAAGAAGCGCCGGCUAACUACGUGCCAGCAGCCGCGGUAAUACGUAGGGCGCAAGCGUUGUCCGGAAUUAUUGGGCGUAAAGAGCUCGUAGGCGGUUUGUCGCGUCUGUCGUGAAAGCCCACGGCUUAACCGUGGGUCUGCGGUGGAUACGGGCAGACUAGAGGCAGGUAGGGGAGAAUGGAAUUCCCGGUGUAGCGGUGAAAUGCGCAGAUAUCGGGAGGAACACCGGUGGCGAAGGCGGUUCUCUGGGCCUGUACUGACGCUGGGGAGCGAAAGCGUGGGGAGCGAACAGGAUUAGAUACCCUGGUAGUCCACGCCGUAAACGUUGGGCGCUAGGUGUGGGGUCCUUCCACGGAUUCCGCGCCGCAGCUAACGCAUUAAGCGCCCCGCCUGGGGAGUACGGCCGC